Molecule: ribosomal RNA, 253 nt
Filed under: uncultured bacterium
Lineage: Bacteria
Description: partial 16S ribosomal RNA
Rfam family: Bacterial small subunit ribosomal RNA
Source: RNAcentral
UACGUGAGGGGCGAACGUUGUUCGGUGUCACUGGGCUUAAAGGGCGCGUAGGUGGUUGUGUAAGUAACGUGUGAAAUCCCUCGGCUUACCCGGGGAAUUGCAUGUUAUACUGCAUGACUUGAGGAUCAGAGGGGAAUGGGGAACUCCAGGUGUAGCGGUGAAAUGCGCAGAUAUCUGGGGGAAGGCCGGCGGCGAAGGCGCCAUUCUGGACCGAAACUGACGCUGAGGCGCGAAAGCCAGGGGAGCAAACGGG